This 204-nucleotide long non-coding RNA is filed under the name Ananas comosus (pineapple). RNAcentral describes it as "long non-coding RNA (ACOM_LNC043329)". The record is from RNAcentral. Lineage: Eukaryota; Viridiplantae; Streptophyta; Magnoliopsida; Poales; Bromeliaceae.
GAAUGGCAUCGUGGAUUCGGCGUGAACAAAGGCGGUUUGUGGAUUCGGAUCGUUGGCUCAUGGAUUUGAGUGGCGUCGUGGAUUCGGUGUGAUUGAAGCUUCGUGGAUUCGAAGUGGAGGCGUUCGUGAGGGCGUGGACAACUCGGAGGGUAGCGCGAAGAUUCAUAGGAGGUUAAGAGAGGUUGAGUCCGUGGAGUCGGUAAU